UGUAAUGAUAGGCCGCACAAACUGGCGUUUCCUUAAUUGGAAGUUAGCCAACCUCGGCACUUGAGUUUGUGGAUUCCCAGUCCCCAUUUCGAUGCCGAGAUGUUCAGGGGCUCCCUACCCUACGUAAAGGGUAGGGUCAAAGUGGAUUGACAGUGACUUGAUCCCAAAAGAAAAGUUUAUGAAAGCGAGUCAGUGUGUGAGCUCUCUUUUUUACUAUUAUUUUUUUGGUUACAGAUCAUCUCCCAUCUUUAAAUCCCUCUUUUUUUCUUCUUCUCAGUUUUUCAAUUUCAUUCUCAUAUUAUUAAUUUAGUCUCCAUGUGGAAGGUAUGAAUGGAAUGUUUUCAAAAUAUGUUUUAGACAGAUCGCUUGGCAAGAUCAGCAACUGCUGCAUUCUCUUUCUGGACAUAGACAAAAUCCAAUGUAACGUGUCAAUGGUCAUGCUCCUACUGUACACCAAGAUUAUUCAUUAAUAAUGACUUGUGACUUGUCUAUAUAUUAAUUUGAAACUAUUCAUGGAGAUUAAUAUUUGAUCUUGCACAUCCCCUUUAUACAA
Molecule: long non-coding RNA, 553 nt
Organism: Cucumis sativus (cucumber)
Lineage: Eukaryota; Viridiplantae; Streptophyta; Magnoliopsida; Cucurbitales; Cucurbitaceae
Exons: 2
Source: RefSeq, a predicted model, not a curated record